This is a long non-coding RNA of Caretta caretta (loggerhead turtle), 803 nucleotides long. RefSeq lists it as uncharacterized. The record is from RefSeq and is a predicted model, not a curated record. Lineage: Eukaryota; Metazoa; Chordata; Testudines; Cheloniidae.
UCAAAUUGUGACUCAUACUUACUGUUUGGUACUUGACUUCCCUACCUUGUUUCUCUGGGCCAGGAGAGGGGAGUUAAUCCGUGUCAGCCCUUUACGUGGUGCCGAUUACUUUCCUGUGGGUCAGCUCAGCCUUUCUGGCCAGGGUGUGUGACUGUGGGGCUGCUGUGCAGGUGUUCCCUCCCUACUUCUGCCUAUCCAUCCUAUCUACGUGGGAGAGGCCCUGUGGAGGUUGUUUGCGCUGCUGCAAUCUAUCCCAUGAUGCAGAGGAGCAAGAGGAUGCCUGCAGCUCCUUAGUACCUUGCUCAGUUCUCUUCUCCUCUAGAGACAAAGGAAUCAUCCAGCAAAACCAGAGAAGCAAAGAAUUCAUGUUCUCGAUAUUUCUGAGAAACUUAUUCAGAAGCAAACCAGGUCAAGGAAUGAUUUACGAAACUGUAACUGUCAUAUGGUGUUAAUGUGAUAGCUGGUUUCAACUGACAUCUGUGAGAAACAGUUGGACAUACCUCUUCUUCUGCAUGAACUAGAGUUUCUAAUUAAUUAUGCAAAGCUGAAAACAAACAAGAGUAUACUGAAAAAUAAUAGCUAAAAUCUAAGAUAAGGUGCACUCUCACACCUUGUUCUGUUAUUGAUACCCUUUGCAUUGACCACAAUGGUUUCAUUUUGACAAUGGACUUUUACCAGCAAUAACAUAUAUUACUGAUAGCACUAUUACUGAUUCUAAGACUCUGUUAUGUUAUGUUUACAAUCUCUGUAAAGCUAAUACAUUAAUAUGAGCAAAAUCAUGCAACAAGCAACGUGUGACUUUC